RNAcentral lists this ribosomal RNA (253 nucleotides) under uncultured bacterium. Its description in RNAcentral is "partial 16S ribosomal RNA". It matches the Rfam family "Bacterial small subunit ribosomal RNA", at positions 524 to 776 of the family's 1533-position model. The record is from RNAcentral.
UACGUAGGGUGCAAGCGUUGUCCGGAAUUAUUGGGCGUAAAGGGCUCGUAGGCGGCCAACUAAGUCAGACGUGAAAUCCCUCAGCUUAACUGGGGAACUGCGUCUGAUACUGGAUGGCUUGGAUUCGGGAGAGGAAUGCGGAAUUCCAGGUGUAGCGGUGAAAUGCGUAGAUAUCUGGAGGAACACCGGUGGCGAAGGCGGCAUUCUGGACCGAUAUUGACGCUGAGGAGCGAAAGCCAGGGGAGCAAACGGG